GUUAAUGUAGCUUAAAUUUCCACUAAAGCAAGACACU
RNAcentral lists this transfer RNA (37 nucleotides) under Berardius minimus (black Baird's beaked whale). RNAcentral describes it as "partial tRNA-Phe". The record is from RNAcentral. Lineage: Eukaryota; Metazoa; Chordata; Mammalia; Artiodactyla; Ziphiidae.